RNAcentral lists this ribosomal RNA (253 nucleotides) under uncultured bacterium. Its description in RNAcentral is "partial 16S ribosomal RNA". It matches the Rfam family "Bacterial small subunit ribosomal RNA", at positions 524 to 776 of the family's 1533-position model. The record is from RNAcentral.
UACGGGGGGGGCAAGCGUUGUUCGGAAUUACUGGGCGUAAAGGGCUCGUAGGCGGCCCACUAAGUCAGACGUGAAAUCCCUCGGCUUAACCGGGGAACUGCAUCUGAUACUGGAUGGCUUGAGUUCGGGAGAGGGAUGCGGAAUUCCAGGUGUAGCGGUGAAAUGCGUAGAUAUCUGGAGGAACACCGGUGGCGAAGGCGGGUCCCUGGGCCGAUACUGACGCUGAGGAGCGAAAGCGUGGGGAGCGAACAGG